CCUACGGGUGGCAGCAGUGAGGAAUAUUGGUCAAUGGGCGCUAGUCUGAACCAGCCAAGUAGCGUGAAGGAUGACUGCCCUAUGGGUUGUAAACUUCUUUUAUAUGGGAAUAAAGUGCAGUAUGUAUACUGCUUUGCAUGUACUUUAUGAAUAAGGAUCGACUAACUCCGUGCCAGCAGCCGCGGUAAUACGGAGGAUCCGAGCGUUAUCCGGAUUUAUUGGGUUUAAAGGGGGCGUAGGCGGGUUGUUAAGUCAGUUGUGAAAGUUUGCGGCUCAACCGUAGAAUUGCAGUUGAUACUGGCAUCCUUGAGAACAGUAGAGGUAGGCGGAAUGCGUGGUGUAGCGGUGAAAUGCUUAGAGAUCACGAAGAACGCCGAUUGCGAAGGCAGCCUGCUGGACUGUAACUGACGCUGAGGCACGAAAGUGUGGGUAUCAAACAGGAUUAGAUACCCGGGUAGUC
Molecule: ribosomal RNA, 460 nt
Filed under: uncultured bacterium
Lineage: Bacteria
Description: partial 16S ribosomal RNA
Rfam family: Bacterial small subunit ribosomal RNA
Source: RNAcentral